This 484-nucleotide ribosomal RNA is filed under the name uncultured bacterium. RNAcentral describes it as "partial 16S ribosomal RNA". It matches the Rfam family "Bacterial small subunit ribosomal RNA", at positions 30 to 507 of the family's 1533-position model. The record is from RNAcentral.
AUUGAACGCUGGCGGCAGGCCUAACACAUGCAAGUCGAGCGGAUGAAGGGAGCUUGCUCCUGGAUUCAGCGGCGGACGGGUGAGUAAUGCCUAGGAAUCUGCCUGGUAGUGGGGGAUAACGUCCGGAAACGGGCGCUAAUACCGCAUACGUCCUGAGGGAGAAAGUGGGGGAUCUUCGGACCUCACGCUAUCAGAUGAGCCUAGGUCGGAUUAGCUAGUUGGUGGGGUAAAGGCCUACCAAGGCGACGAUCCGUAACUGGUCUGAGAGGAUGAUCAGUCACACUGGAACUGGGACACGGUCCAGACUCCUACGGGAGGCAGCAGUCGGGAAUAUUGGGCAAUGGGCGAAAGCCUGAUCCAGCCAUGCCGAGUGUGUGAAGAAGGUCUUCGGAUUGUAAAGCACUUUAAGUUGGGAGGAAGGGCAGUAAGUUAAUACCUUGCUGUUUUGACGGUACCAACAGAAUAAGCACCGGCUAACUUCGUG